RNAcentral lists this ribosomal RNA (260 nucleotides) under uncultured bacterium. RNAcentral describes it as "partial 16S ribosomal RNA". It matches the Rfam family "Bacterial small subunit ribosomal RNA", at positions 524 to 782 of the family's 1533-position model. The record is from RNAcentral.
UACGAAGGGGGCUAGCGUUGUUCGGAAUUACUGGGCGUAAAGCGCGCGCAGGCGGUCUUCCAAGUCAGUGGUGAAAGCCCGGAGCUCAACUCCGGAACUGCCAUUGAAACUGUGAGACUAGAGUACGAGAGAGGUGAGUGGAAUUCCCAGUGUAGAGGUGAAAUUCGUAGAUAUUGGGAAGAACACCGGUGGCGAAGGCGGCGUCACUGGUCCGGAACUGACGCUGAGGUGCGAAAGCGUGGGGAGCAAACAGGAUUAGA